Long non-coding RNA from Hibiscus syriacus, 638 nucleotides. RefSeq lists it as uncharacterized. Lineage: Eukaryota; Viridiplantae; Streptophyta; Magnoliopsida; Malvales; Malvaceae. The transcript has 5 exons. The record is from RefSeq and is a predicted model, not a curated record.
UAUCGAAUUUAUGUUCAACAUGAUCACAUAAUCCAUAAAUAAAUUUUAGAUCUGGGAAAACUUAAGGAUCUAUUUCAAUGACAUAACCUUUGAAUUUCCAAGGAAUGCAAAGAUAAUCUUGGUUUCAACCUUUCUGCAAUGGAUCGUCUAAAGCAAUUGAUGGCUUCAAGAUCGGAUGCUCUAUUUCGAGAUGCAAAGUCGAAUUUGUUAGAGAUUCAUUCUCAGCAGUCGAAACGUUUAGAAGCAAGAUCAGAUCCCAAAACAGAAAAACGGAAAAAGAAGAAACAGAAGAGAAGAACUGAUAUACACGUUUGAUCUCCAAGAUGGGCAAAACUUUUAUUCCCUAUUUUCAAGGUUUAGAGUGCUUUGCAGAAUAAUGUUCUUCCUGCUUCAAGUACUCGUGACUCUUCUGACCGUUCAACAGCUCGAUCCAACUCAUCUUGAUCCGCCUGACCUCGUAGUUAGAGCACUGCUGUGGAGCGUAAAGGCAUGUGCUCAAAGACUCAUAGAUCGAUCCCUUUUUGUGAGAUACUUUUGGAUAGGCACCUCCUAACUUGGCACUUGGAGGAACGACACAUCAUCUACAGUAUCUUUUGUUGUAAUAUUUCUAUCUUCCAGAAUGCCUUUAUUUCGUGACA